UGAAUUGUGAAAUUGUGGGAUUGAAAGGAGUAGUUUCCUUGGACUUGGCAGACUCGUCUCUAUGAUUUGGGACGCUUGUUGGAAGAGAAUUAGGCGGCACCCUUGAACUCUCGAUUUCUGCUGUGAAUGGAGCAGGAGUGUAAUCAAGCAGCUACGUGCCUUGAGGGGAAGGAGAGUAAUCAAGCAGCAGCUACGUGCCUUAAGGGAAGGAAAGUAAUCAAGCAGGAGGUGGAACAAUUACGUGGCUUGAGGGGGAUGAGAGUCAUCAGGAGGAAGAAGAAGGAAGAAGGAGGUGCAGGAGCAAUAAACAAGAAUUAAUUUAGUUAUUUGGGUAUUCCAUGAAUGGGUUCCAAAAAUUUUGAAGUGGGCUGGGAUUUAACUUAUGGGCCCACAUAUGUACACCAUUUUAUUUCUUCUAUUCCAUUUCAUAGUUUUUAGAAAUGUAUCCCUGUAGUUAGACUUUUAAAAUAAAAAGUUUGGUUGACUA
This is a long non-coding RNA of Salvia hispanica, 487 nucleotides long. RefSeq lists it as uncharacterized. NCBI's taxonomy places the organism in Eukaryota, Viridiplantae, Streptophyta, Magnoliopsida, Lamiales, Lamiaceae. The record is from RefSeq and is a predicted model, not a curated record.